AGCAGCCGCGGUAAUUCCAGCUCCAAUAGCGUAUAUUAAAGUUGUUGCAGUUAAAAAGCUCGUAGUUGAAUUUCGGGAUUGACACAUCGGUCGUGCCUUAAGGGGUAUGAACUGGUGUAGUCAAUUUCUCACCUUCUGGAGAACCGCGAUGCCCUUAAUUGGGUGUCACGGGGAACCAGGACCUUUACUUUGAAAAAAUUAGAGUGUUUAAAGCAGGCAUUUUGCUUGAAUACAUUAGCAUGGAAUAAUAAAAUAGGACGGCAUGAUUCUAUUUUGUUGGUUUCUAGGAUCACCGUAAUGAUUAAUAGGGAUAGUUGGGGGCAUUAGUAUUCAAUUGUCAAAGGUGAAAUUCUUGGAUUUAUUGAAGACUAACUACUGCGAAAGCAUUUGCCAAGGAUGUUUUCAUUAAUCAAGAACGAAAGUUAGGGGAUCGAAGACGAUCAGAUACCGUCGUAGUCUUAACCAUAAACUAUGCCGACUAGGAAUCAGACGAUGUUAAUUUUUUAAUGACUCGUUUGGC
RNAcentral lists this small RNA (520 nucleotides) under uncultured Entrophospora. RNAcentral describes it as "SSU rRNA". It matches the Rfam family "Eukaryotic small subunit ribosomal RNA", at positions 569 to 1084 of the family's 1831-position model. The record is from RNAcentral. Lineage: Eukaryota; Fungi; Glomeromycota; Glomeromycetes; Entrophosporales; Entrophosporaceae.